Molecule: ribosomal RNA, 253 nt
Filed under: uncultured bacterium
Lineage: Bacteria
Description: partial 16S ribosomal RNA
Rfam family: Bacterial small subunit ribosomal RNA
Source: RNAcentral
UACGGAGGGAGCUAGCGUUGUUCGGAAUUACUGGGCGUAAAGCGCACGUAGGCGGCCAUUCAAGUCAGAGGUGAAAGCCCGGGGCUCAACUCCGGAACUGCCUUUGAAACUAGGUGGCUAGAAUCUUGGAGAGGCGAGUGGAAUUCCGAGUGUAGAGGUGAAAUUCGUAGAUAUUCGGAAGAACACCAGUGGCGAAGGCGACUCGCUGGACAAGUAUUGACGCUGAGGUGCGAAAGCGUGGGGAGCAAACAGG